This 330-nucleotide ribosomal RNA is filed under the name uncultured bacterium. RNAcentral's name for it is "bacterial SSU rRNA". It matches the Rfam family "Bacterial small subunit ribosomal RNA", at positions 568 to 898 of the family's 1533-position model. The record is from RNAcentral.
UGUGUAGGCGGUUCUUUAAGUUUGGUGUGAAAUCUCCCGGCUUAACCGGGAGGGUGCGCCGAAUACUGAGGGACUCGAGUGCGGGAGAGGAAAGUGGAAUUCCUGGUGUAGCGGUGAAAUGCGUAGAUAUCAGGAGGAACACCGGUGGUGUAGACGGCUUUCUGGACCGUAACUGACGCUGAGACACGAAAGCGUGGGUAGCAAACAGGAUUAGAUACCCUGGUAGUCCACGCCCUAAACGAUGCAUAUUUGGUGUGGGCAGUUCAUUCUGUCCGUGCCGGAGCUAACGCGUUAAAUAUGCCGCCUGGGGAGUACAGUCGCAAGGCUGAA